RNA transcript from Callithrix jacchus (white-tufted-ear marmoset), 2395 nucleotides. It is a transcript of the gene named serine/threonine-protein kinase MAK pseudogene, with no coding region annotated. The record is from RefSeq and is a predicted model, not a curated record. Lineage: Eukaryota; Metazoa; Chordata; Mammalia; Primates; Cebidae.
UGACAUGCAUGUGUUGACAGUCCUGAAACAUUCACUGAGAGGGUAAACGCGGUCGACCUAGAAUGGCCAAUACCAAACAGAAUUUUAAGAACAGGUGGCCAGCUCCUGUGGGGCUUAAUCACAUAUUACUAUUCUUUUAAGAACAGAAAGUAACAUUAUUUUUGACUGAAGGAAAGUGAUGACAGUGAAAAACAUGGAAAUUUACUCAAAACAAGUAACUUUUUCUAUAACCUUCUUCCAAAGAAACUGCAUUUUCUAAGGAAUUAAAUGAUAACAGUGGCUAAGGCAUAGUUUCUAAACUUUCAGCCAGAUCCUGGGAUUCACAGAAAAAAAGAUAAUGAAUGGGGUCUGGACAUACAGCCUGAGAUCUUAAAACAAUGAUGAAAUUCACAACUUUCGAAGACGCCUGAGGGCAGUGAACGAGAUUUAUAUUCAAUGAGGAAGCCAUUUCAAUCAACAACUUCUGCUGUGUUAUUCUUCCAAGAUGAACCGAUACACAACCAUGGGACAGUUGGGGGACGGCGCCUAUAGGAGUGUGCUUAUGGCCAAGAAUAACGAGUCCGGGGAGCUGGUGGCUAUCAAAAGGAUGAAGAGAAAGUUCUAUUCUUGGGAUGAAUGUAUGAACUUGAGAUAAGUUAAGUCUCUGAGAAAACUUAAUCAUCCUAAUGUUAUUAAAUUGAAAGAAGUUAUCAGAGAAAAUGACCACUUUUAUUUCAUAUUUGAAUAUAUGAAAGAAAACCUCUAUCAAUUAAUGAAAGACAGAAACAACUUGUUCCCUGAGUCAGUCAUCAGAAAUAUUAUCUAUCAGAUAUUGCAAGGGCUGGCUUUUAUCCAUAAACAUGGGUUUUUUCAUAGGGACUUGAAAUUAGAAAACUUGCUUUGUAUGGGUCCAGAACUUGUGAAAAUUGCUGAUUUUGGACUUGCAAGAGAAUUAAGGUCACAGCCACUGUACACUGAUUAUGUCUCUACUAGAUAGUAUCAUGCCCCUGAAGUUUUGCUGAGAUCUUCUGUGUAUAGCUCUCCCAUUGAUGUGUGGGCUGUUGGAAUUAUCAUGGCUGAACUCUAUAUGUUUUCCCAGGGAAAAGAGAGAUGGAUGAAAUCUUUAAAAUUUGCCAAGUUUUAGGGACUCCGAAAAAGAGCAACUUGGCCAGAAGAAUACCAGCUGGCACCUUCUAUGAACUUUCGUUUUCCCCAGUGUGUUCCUAUAAACUUAAAAACUCUGAUUCCCAAUGCCAGUAAUGAAGCUAUUCAGCUCAUGACUGAAAUGUUGAAUUGGGAUCCAAUGAAACGACCAAGAGCAAGCCGGGCAUUGAAACACCCAUAUUUUCAAGUUGGUCAGGUAUUAGGCCAUUUCUCAAAUCAUCUGGAAUCAAAACAGUCUUUAAAUAAGCAGCUCCAACCAUUAGAAUCAAAGCCAUCUUUAGUUGAAGUAGAGCCCAAGCCUCUACCAGAUGUAAUUAGUUAGACUGUUGGACAAUCCCAGUCAAAAACUAGCCAGAAGCCACUGCAGCCCAUUUCGGCCGCCACAGAACCUGAACGUCCAGCAACCACCAAAGCAACAGAAUCAGCAGAAACCGCCGCAAACACAAUUCCCAAACAUCAUCAAAAACAUGCCAACUAAGCCAAAUGGUACACUGAAUCAUAAAAGUGGUAGGAGGUGUUGGGGCCAGACUAUCUUCAAAUCUGGAGAAAGCUGGGAAGAGUUGGAGGACUAUGAUUUCGGAGCCUCCCAUUCCAAGAAGCCAAGCAUGAGUGUUUUUAAAGAAAAAAGGAAGAAAGAUUCUCCAUUUCGGCUUCCAGAACUGGCACCCUCGGGCUCCAACCACUUGCUAGGGGAAAACAAGAGCUUACCUGCUGUUAUUUCCCUAAAGUCUGAUUCCGAAUUGUCAACUGCCCCAGCCUCUAAACAGUACUGCUUGAAACAAUCAAGAUAUCUUCUAGGUGUGAAUCCCAAGAACGUGUCCUUGAUAGCCAGUGGAAAGGAAAUAAACCUCCACACGUGGAGCAAUCAGUUAUUCCCUAAGUCACUGGGAUCUGUCAGGGCAGAACUUGCUUUCAAAAAGAGCAAUGCAGAAGAAAGCAUAAUUAAACCAAUUGAAAAGCCAUCAUGCAAUGAAACUUUUCCUGAAAAAUCAGAGGACUCACAAAGUAAUUUCUGGGCAUCAGAUUAAUGCAAUUUGUUCUUUGAAUCUCUGGUCUAAUUUUCUUCUCAACAUUUGCCCCUGAUCCUGACAUAAAAGGCCAAGAUGAUCUGCUUUUAGAAGUCAAGUCUGGACUAGGAUACAGAAAAGCAUCCUCUCUCAUCAGGAAUAUCUUUCUUCAGUAGUUUAUAUUCUAAGAUAAAUUUGCCUCAAAAAGUAAAAAAAAAAAAAAAAAAAUUCACAACUUUCUCAGA